GGCCCCGCCCACCACUGCGAAGAGCGGCAGGAGCGCCCCCGACCCGCUCGGCGGUGCCGCAGCGCCACCCGGCGGCGAGGAGGUGCGCCCGGUCGCGCCGCUGUCGCCGCCGCCGCCGCCGCGCCGGUAAGGGCCGAGGCUGCGCUGGCCCCGGGCCCCAGGGCCGCAGCCACCGCCAAGACAAACUGACCGACCUCGGGCAUAAGCCGCAACGCCGAGCGGCAGGAAAGGGGCUGAGCUCGCUAUGGCACCGAAGGGCUGGAGGUCCGCGGCCACUUCUGUGCCCCUGGGCGGCUCCACAGCCAUUGCCCGGUAACGUGCGUCUCACCAUGGACCGGCCUGGGGAACACAGAAAGUGGCGACGAGUACAGAGGCUGCAGGGAAACACAACCGCGUUCCGGCGUCCCAAGGGCAGUGCCUGCAGCACCUCACAACGGCCCUCGGCCCUCAGCUCGGCUGCUGGCUACCAUCACCCCUCAGCAGGCAAACGGUUUGUAAUGCUGGCAUUCAACCUCAUUAGCGAUCAAGGAAGAAAACGUUUUGUUCACCAGACCCUA
Molecule: long non-coding RNA, 557 nt
Organism: Pezoporus occidentalis (night parrot)
Lineage: Eukaryota; Metazoa; Chordata; Aves; Psittaciformes; Psittacidae
Exons: 2
Source: RefSeq, a predicted model, not a curated record